Molecule: ribosomal RNA, 253 nt
Filed under: uncultured bacterium
Lineage: Bacteria
Description: partial 16S ribosomal RNA
Rfam family: Bacterial small subunit ribosomal RNA
Source: RNAcentral
UACGUAGGGGGCUAGCGUUGUCCGGAAUCAUUGGGCGUAAAGAGCGUGUAGGCGGUCCGGUAAGUCCGUUGUGAAAGUCAGGGGCUCAACCCUUGAAUGCCGGCGGAUACUGUCGGGCUAGAGUCCGGAAGAGGCAAGUGGAAUUCCCGGUGUAGCGGUGAAAUGCGCAGAUAUCGGGAGGAACACCAAUGGCGAAGGCAGCUCGCUGGGACGGUACUGACGCUGAGGCGCGAAAGCGUGGGGAGCAAACAGG